UACGAAGGGUGCAAGCGUUGUUCGGAUUUAUUGGGCGUAAAGCGCGCGCAGGCGGAUGAAGAAGUCAGAUGUGAAAACUCGGGGCUUAACCUCGAACGUGCGUCUGAAACUUUUUGUCUGGAGUGAUGGAGGGGGAAGGGGAAUUUCACGUGUAGGGGUAAAAUCCGUAGAGAUGUGAAGGAACACCAGAGGCGAAGGCGCCUUCCUGGCCAUUAACUGACGCUGAGGCGCGAGAGCAUGGGUAGCAAACAGG
This 253-nucleotide ribosomal RNA is filed under the name uncultured bacterium. RNAcentral describes it as "partial 16S ribosomal RNA". It matches the Rfam family "Bacterial small subunit ribosomal RNA", at positions 524 to 776 of the family's 1533-position model. The record is from RNAcentral.